CUACGGGUUGCUGCAGUGGGGAAUAUUGGACAAUGGGCGAAAGCCUGAUCCAGCAAUGCCGCGUGUGUGAAGAAGGCCUGCGGGUUGUAAAGCACUUUCAGUUGGGAAGAUGAUGACGUUACCAACAGAAGAAGCACCGGCUAACUCCGUGCCAGCAGCCGCGGUAAUACGGAGGGUGCAAGCGUUAAUCGGAAUUACUGGGCGUAAAGCGCGCGUAGGCGGCUUGGUCAGUCAGAUGUGAAAGCCCCGGGCUUAACCUGGGAAUUGCAUUUGAUACUGCCUGGCUAGAGUGUGGUAGAGGGAAGUGGAAUUCCAGGUGUAGCGGUGAAAUGCGUAGAUAUCUGGAGGAACAUCAGUGGCGAAGGCGGCUUCCUGGACCAACACUGACGCUGAGGUGCGAAAGCGUGGGUAGCAAACAGGAUUAGAUACCCUAGUAGUC
This 439-nucleotide ribosomal RNA is filed under the name uncultured bacterium. RNAcentral's name for it is "partial 16S ribosomal RNA". It matches the Rfam family "Bacterial small subunit ribosomal RNA", at positions 339 to 795 of the family's 1533-position model. The record is from RNAcentral.